Molecule: ribosomal RNA, 1172 nt
Filed under: Gallibacterium anatis
Lineage: Bacteria; Pseudomonadati; Pseudomonadota; Gammaproteobacteria; Pasteurellales; Pasteurellaceae
Description: bacterial LSU rRNA
Rfam family: Bacterial large subunit ribosomal RNA
Source: RNAcentral
GUUGUAUAGUUAAGUGACUAAGCGUACACGGUGGAUGCCUUGGCAAUCAGAGGCGAAGAAGGACGUGCUAAUCUGCGAAAAGCGYGGGGGAGCUGAUAAGGAGCGUUAAUCCCACGAUGUCCGAAUGGGGAAACCCGAUAGAUGAAGAAUCUAUCAUUGUUGUCUGAAUUCAUAGGGCAACAAGGCAAACCGGGAGAACUGAAACAUCUAAGUACCCCGAGGAAAAGAAAUCAACCGAGAUUCUGCGAGUAGCGGCGAGCGAAAGCGGAGGAGCCAGCGAGUGAUAGCAUAAGUUUUAGGAGAAUUGUCUGGGAAGGCAAGCGAGAGAGGGUGACAGCCCCGUAUCCGAAAAGACGGAUGUGGUACUAAGCUAGCAAGAAGUAGGGCGGGACACGAGGAAUCCUGUUUGAAGAAGGGGGGACCAUCCUCCAAGGCUAAAUACUCCUGAUUGACCGAUAGUGGACCAGUACCGUGAGGGAAAGGCGAAAAGAACCCCGGGAGGGGAGUGAAAGAGAACCUGAAACCGUGUACGUACAAGCAGUGGGAGCCCGRAAGGGUGACUGCGUACCUUUUGUAUAAUGGGUCAGCGACUUAUAUUUUGUAGCGAGGUUAACCGGAUAGGGGAGCCGAAGGGAAACCGAGUCUUAACUGGGCGGUUAGUUGCAAGAUAUAGACCCGAAACCCGGUGAUCUAGCCAUGGGCAGGAAGAAGGUUGGGUAACACUAACUGGAGGGCCGAACCGACUACUGUUGAAAAAGUAGCGGAUGACCUGUGGCUGGGGGUGAAAGGCCAAUCAAACCGGGAGAUAGCUGGUUCUCCCCGAAAUCUAUUUAGGUAGAGCCUUAUAUGAAUACCUUCGGGGGUAGAGCACUGUUUCGGCUAGGGGUCCAUCCCGGAUUACCAACCCGAUGCAAACUGCGAAUACCGAAGAGUAAUGUAUAGGAGACACACGGCGGGUGCUAACGUUCGUCGUGGAGAGGGAAACAACCCAGACCGCCAGCUAAGGUCCCAAAGUCUAUAUUAAGUGGGAAACGAAGUGGAAAGGCUUAGACAGCUAGGAUGUUGGCUUAGAAGCAGCCAUCAUUUAAAGAAAGCGUAAUAGCUCACUAGUCGAGUCGGUCUGCGCGGAAGAUGUAACGGGGCUAAAAUAUAGCACCGAAGCUGCGGCAUCA